Molecule: non-coding RNA, 1115 nt
Organism: Lolium perenne
Lineage: Eukaryota; Viridiplantae; Streptophyta; Magnoliopsida; Poales; Poaceae
Source: RefSeq, a predicted model, not a curated record
GGUAUCCUUAUCCUGGGGUAUUGUUCUGUGCUCAGCUGCAUGUUUUGAGAUUUGGUUUGCAAUGAAGUGGGUAGGAUGUCAACCCCAAUGGCCUCACAUAAAUCAGAUUCAGCCCUCAAACACUAACAGCUAGGGUUUAGUGUUAGUGGAUUCCAUGGUUGGUUGCAGCCUACAGCUAAACGCUCCCAGGGCAGAGGGAAGCUUCUCCUAUGAGAGAAAGGCUCGAGGCGGUCGUUUGGCUUGAGUGGUGCAUCUUGGAGGAACGUAGGUGGAGACAACGAUAUGGGCAAACAAUGCUGCAUCAGCAUCAAGAGCUCAUCAACUGGCCAUGCGAGGCGCGACGACUGCGGCCGGCAGCACGAGGGUGUGGGGCUGGUCGGCUGGAAGGCGUGCCGGAGGUGUGGCCACAUCUGAGUACCUAAGUGAGCUUGCUUUGGUUCAUGUCAUGAAGAGACUGGCGGCCUGCCUCCGAGGGAGGCGACACUGAAUGCGCUGAGCCGAUGUCAUCUGAAGAAUCAAGCACCAAGAUACUGCCUCAAGCUGGCAUCUUGCCACUGCUCGCUGUCUCGCUGCUCCAUGGCCAGGUAUGGCGGCGAUGUGCUUUGUCCAGUGGAGACAAGCGGCGUGGGAGAAGAUGAACAUCGGGAGGGGUCGAGGUUGAGCAGGAGAUGAAGGGGUUGUCGUGCGCAGCACCGUGCUCGGUUUACCUUGGGCUCAUCAUCAAGGACUAUGGCAACAGUCGGGUCUGAUCCGGAGGCGGUGUGGUCAGCGUGUCCUCAGCUGAAGGAGGCGAGGACCAGCACGAGGUUUCAUAGCUUCAAAUCAUUCACUAAUUGAUCUUCUGGAAAUGUAUUAAGACCAUCUUGCAAAAGUUCAUGAUUGUUUGACUCAGUUAUGGCAAAUUAAGCCAUGAUUGUUUGACUCAGUUAUGGCAAAUUAAGCAAAUGAGCUUUUCAUGUAUUCCUGUUUGUAUCAGAUCGGCUUAUUAACAUUUGUGAAACAGUGGAGAUGUUGCUCGGCCCUUCACCAUACCACACGCUUUAGAGGGUGGAGCAUGUCACCAUCCUCAAUCCAUGAGUGUGGUAAGCAUUCGGUGCUUCAAGCUGAUAUUCCUG